Molecule: long non-coding RNA, 618 nt
Filed under: Trifolium pratense (red clover)
Lineage: Eukaryota; Viridiplantae; Streptophyta; Magnoliopsida; Fabales; Fabaceae
Description: long non-coding RNA (TPRA_LNC004027)
Source: RNAcentral
AUCAACUCCCCCUUUUGCCAUUUUUUUUUUCUUCUUUUGGAAUUGUUGCAACAAUCAAAAGAAGGUGAAACUUGAAAUAAAUUGUGUAGCUAAGCUAUCUAUAGAAAAAGGACUAUGGUUUAUGCAGUUUCUUUUGAUUAUUAUGCAUUGGUGUGUAUAUAAGUAUGGAAGAGAAUGGAAGACUUAACUACAAUUUGGCAUGUUCAUUAAUUCAUAUGAACUUCCACAUGAGAAUCUUUUAUGUGUUUUGUUUUUAUUUUUCUUUUGAACUCAAAGUAAAAGUCAAGUCAACUUCAGUUUUUGUUUUCUAUUUUUGAUUUUAUUGAUAAUCUCUGAUUCAUUUCAUUUCAUAGUACCCUACUUCCAGGAGAAGUCGAAUCCCCAUGGCCUCUUUGAAAGAGAGAUGUCUUCACAUCAAUUUCAUGAUUUUUGAGUUUUGUGAACCAUUAAAAUUUUAUCUUUUUCUUAUCUUCUUUUGAGCCAAAUAUUCAAUUAAAAUAUCUUCUCUCUUCUUUCCUCUCUUCCCCUCUAUUAGAUUUUUCCCCCUCUCCAUCCAGUUGAACCAAACAAACAUGCAAAUCAAAAUGUAAAUUAAGACAUUUGACUGAAGUGAUUAAU